AAGCACGUGGAGCCUCAGGGUAAGCCGCUCACUCAAGCGUGGUUGCGAUUCUCCGGGGCCCCCUCCAAGCCGUUGCAGGAUGCUCGGGUUGUGGCCAGCUUGUGCAUUUUGGUGGGGAAGCCUGAGCGUGUGGAUAUGGCGUUCACCAAAGCUCAUGGGAUUGCUCGGGUUCUGGUUAGUAUUCUGAACAUUGAGUAUGUGCCGGAAGUGGUUAAGUGGGCUUAUCGAGGCAGGAUUUAUAAUCUGGUCAUUGAGUUUGAGGAUGAGAGCCUUUUGGCUGCGGCGGCUCACGAGUCCGACGUG
RNAcentral lists this ribosomal RNA (303 nucleotides) under Triticum aestivum (bread wheat). RNAcentral's name for it is "partial small subunit ribosomal RNA". Lineage: Eukaryota; Viridiplantae; Streptophyta; Magnoliopsida; Poales; Poaceae. The record is from RNAcentral.